Molecule: ribosomal RNA, 429 nt
Filed under: Pseudomonadota bacterium
Lineage: Bacteria; Pseudomonadati; Pseudomonadota
Description: Proteobacteria bacterium partial 16S ribosomal RNA
Rfam family: Bacterial small subunit ribosomal RNA
Source: RNAcentral
UGGGGAAUAUUGGACAAUGGGCGAAAGCCUGAUCCAGCCAUGCCGCGUGUGUGAAGAAGGUCUUCGGAUUGUAAAGCACUUUAAGUUGGGAGGAAGGGCAGUAAGCGAAUACCUUGCUGUUUUGACGUUACCGACAGAAUAAGCACCGGCUAACUCUGUGCCAGCAGCCGCGGUAAUACAGAGGGUGCAAGCGUUAAUCGGAAUUACUGGGCGUAAAGCGCGCGUAGGUGGUUCGUUAAGUUGAAUGUGAAAGCCCCGGGCUCAACCUGGGAACUGCAUCCAAAACGGGCGAGCUAGAGUAGGGCAGAGGGUGGUGGAAUUUCCUGUGUAGCGGAGAAAUGCGUAGAUAUAGGAAGGAACACCAGUGGCGAAGGCGACCACCUGGGCUCAUACUGACACUGAGGUGCGAAAGCGUGGGGAGCAAACAGG